This is a non-coding RNA of Cyprinodon tularosa, 348 nucleotides long. The record is from the annotation of a RefSeq genome assembly. NCBI's taxonomy places the organism in Eukaryota, Metazoa, Chordata, Actinopteri, Cyprinodontiformes, Cyprinodontidae.
AUGUUCUCUGUAGCUCUGCUGCUGCUGCUGGUUGGUUCCUGUGUGAAAUGUGAACAUUUGAAUCAACCAACCUCUGUGACUCUGCAGCCAGGUCAACGUCUGACCAUCAGAUGUCAGGUCUCUUAUUCUCUGAACAGCUACUGGACAGCUUGGAUCAGACAGGCUGCUGGGAAAGGGCUGGAAUGGAUUGGAUGGAAACUUGGUGGUGGAGCUUCAAACUACAAAGAUUCAUUGAAGAAUAAAUUCAGUAUUGAUGUAGACACUUCCAGUAGCACAGUGACUCUGAAUGGAGAGAAUAUGCAGCCUGAAGACUCUGCUGUGUAUUACUGUGCCAGAGAACCACAGUGA